UCUUGAUAUUACAGCAUGUGUACUGCCGUUGUAAGCAUACCUCUAAAAGAUUAAGUAUGCUACUAUGACCUAAACCCAUACACAUCAGGUCAAAGUGCAGCCUAUAAGAAGGUGACGAUGGGUUACAACCCAAAAAAGGACUAUCAACUAAGAAAUAAAAAAUCUUAAGAAAGUGGACUUGGCUGUAAUCGAUUUACAAGUUAAAUAAAUGAAUAAAAAUCUAAGGCAUGCACACAUCGCCCGUCACUCUACCCUAAAGGGUAGAUAAGUCGUAACAAAGUAGGUGUAAUGGAAAUUGCACCUGUCGGAGUAUAGCAUAUAUAAUGCUUUUUACUUACACUAAAAAUAAAGUUAACACUUACUUCGCCUAAAACACACAAUCUUCAUAAUAAUAAAUAAUAAAAACAACUAAGUAACAAUAAGAAAUAAAGUACAGAAAUGGAAAAUAUAAUAAAUAACAGUAAUUUUUAAUAAAUGUACCUUGUGCAUUAUGGUUUUACAAGAAUAUAAUUAAAUACAAAAAUCCCGAAUUCUAAAUGAGAUGUUAAACUGCUGCUAAGAACCCAUUAAUGACUGUAGAAAAAGUUUUAAUAGACAGUUUAACAGAGGCUACAUACCAUCCGCAUAAGAAUAUAGCUGGUUUUCAACAAACAUUAUACAUUAAAACAUAUAAUUACAUUAUAGUGUAAUAUUAUUGAGGAUAAGCCCAAUAAUUAAAGCAAUAUUAAUAAUAACCAAACCCAAUAUAUAGGCCUAAAAUCAGCCAAUUAAAGUACUUUACCGUAACAUAUAAAGGAAAAAUAAAUAUACUAAUAUGCUAAAUAAAGUUGAAAUAGCGGAUAAACCACCUACCCCGCCCAUACUAUGUAAAAAUAAGUAUUAUAAAACAAUGACAACACUAACCAAGAAUGAACAGAACAUAAAUAAACAAUAUUUAAUUAAGGAACUCGGCAA
RNAcentral lists this ribosomal RNA (954 nucleotides) under Megascolecidae sp. YN201724-02. RNAcentral's name for it is "partial small subunit ribosomal RNA". The stretch from base 1 to 317 matches the Rfam family "Bacterial small subunit ribosomal RNA", at positions 1024 to 1533 of the family's 1533-position model. The record is from RNAcentral. Lineage: Eukaryota; Metazoa; Annelida; Clitellata; Crassiclitellata; Megascolecidae.